UGAAACCAGCCUUGAGAUGAGGUUUCUCAUAGCAUAAGCUAGUAAGAUCCCAUGUAGACGACAUGGUUGAUAGGCCAGGUGUGGAAGAGCUGUGAGGCUUGGAGCUGACUGGUACUAAUAGAUCGAGGGCUUUACUUA
RNAcentral lists this ribosomal RNA (138 nucleotides) under Veillonella sp. RNAcentral describes it as "partial 23S ribosomal RNA". It matches the Rfam family "Bacterial large subunit ribosomal RNA", at positions 2788 to 2925 of the family's 2925-position model. The record is from RNAcentral. Lineage: Bacteria; Bacillati; Bacillota; Negativicutes; Veillonellales; Veillonellaceae.